This 253-nucleotide ribosomal RNA is filed under the name uncultured bacterium. Its description in RNAcentral is "partial 16S ribosomal RNA". It matches the Rfam family "Bacterial small subunit ribosomal RNA", at positions 524 to 776 of the family's 1533-position model. The record is from RNAcentral.
UACGGAGGGUGCCAGCUUUAUCCGGAAUCACAGGGUUUAGAGGGAGCGUAGGCGGCUAAGUAAGUCAGAGGUGAAAGUUUGCCGCUUAACGAUAGAAAUGACUUUGAUACUGUUAAGCUUGAAAGUAGGUGAGGUUGCCGGAAUGUGACAUGUAGCGGUGAAAUGCAUAGAUAUGUCAUAGAACACAGAUUGCGAAGGUAGCCGGCUAGCCUGACUUUGAUGAUGAGGCACGAUAGCGUGGGUAGCGAACAGG